CCCCCCUGUGGGGCCACCCUCCCAUCCCAGAGGUGCCAGAUUUCUGUGGAGGUCCGACUGUGGUGCCCCUCCAGGCCUCGUCAGUCCAGAGGCCUAGCUGCCCACUACUGGGACCAGCAAAUGCCCCCUGAAGCUGGAAACUGUGGCCCCCACAGUGGCUUUCCCAAGGCAUUGGUUAUA
This is a long non-coding RNA of Perognathus longimembris pacificus (Pacific pocket mouse), 180 nucleotides long. RefSeq lists it as uncharacterized. The record is from RefSeq and is a predicted model, not a curated record. The transcript has 3 exons. NCBI's taxonomy places the organism in Eukaryota, Metazoa, Chordata, Mammalia, Rodentia, Heteromyidae.